AUCCUGUUAAUAAUUGUCAUAUGGUUAUACGUCAAAGAAGAAAGGAAAGGCUGUAAUUCAACAUAAGCCUAUUGCAUCCAUAAAAUGCCUAGUCUAAAUUAGGAAAAACCAUACCAUAACUUUGUCUCCCACCUGAUAAAAUUGGUACUUUUGCCCAUCCUGCCAAUACUGCCACUCAUGAGUGUAUGUAUGUAGUGAAGCAUUCUAGUGCUCUUUUAGUUAUCAUAUUGUGUAUGCAUUUCAGGAGAGGCACUAAGUGCAGACAAAUGGAUGAUGUCUUUGGAAGGGACAACUGUGAUGGGGCCCCACAACAACCUUCUGAAUGGAGUGCAGCGACCUUCGCUGUCUACGUGUUUAACUAACAGUAUCCUAAAGAGGCCUCAAGCACUAAAGAGCUUUUUGUGGAAUCAACUCCAAGAUGUCAGCAAAGCAGAGAAGAGACAUGGGCUCAACGCACCUGUCUGCACCCUAUUAAGAAGACUCCUGGGCUUUGAGUUGAUGGGCUAGUAUUGAUUCCCACCCACACCCCACAGCUUCCCCAGUUCAAGACUGGUUGGGACCUUUUGUUAUUUAUUACCAUGUUCCCCCUGAUGAUAGACUGUCUGGACGUCUGGAAGUGAGCUAGAUUCUUCAGUGAAACUGUAAUUUUGUUUGUAUGAAAAAAAUAAAAUAAGUUUGUAUUAUGUGAUGUUGCAUAGUG
RNAcentral lists this long non-coding RNA (700 nucleotides) under Carassius auratus (goldfish). RNAcentral describes it as "lncRNA (ENSCARG00000018127.1)". The record is from RNAcentral. Lineage: Eukaryota; Metazoa; Chordata; Actinopteri; Cypriniformes; Cyprinidae.